RNAcentral lists this ribosomal RNA (378 nucleotides) under Triticum aestivum (bread wheat). Its description in RNAcentral is "partial small subunit ribosomal RNA". Lineage: Eukaryota; Viridiplantae; Streptophyta; Magnoliopsida; Poales; Poaceae. The record is from RNAcentral.
AUGGGCAUUUCAGAGAUAAACUAUUGCAUCAGAAAUUUGCUUGGAGAAGAUCUGGGACACUCGGGUACAUUAGACCCACGAGGGCAAUGCGAGGGAGGCCAUGCGCUCAAGUGGGAGGCGGAGCUCGCCUCCCCCAAUGACGACGGCUUCGACCUCAAGUGGAUGUGGGAGGCCAAGUCCAAGCCAUGUGCUGCCGGCAAGGUCGAAACCAAGUGGGGCGCCAAGGAAGCCAACGAGGAUGACAAUAAUUCGGCAAGAAAGUGCGUCCAGAUAAAGGAGAUCUCCACCGGCUGCGAUGUCCAGAUCGAGGUACUCGGCAGAAAAGAUGAAAUUGUUGUGAUGAAAUAUGGGAUUUCCAGUGCUCCAGUAGCUAAAUGA